GAUGAACGCUGGCGGCGUGCCUAAUACAUGCAAGUCGAUCGAACAGACGAGGAGCUUGCUCCUCUGACGUUAGCGGCGGACGGGUGAGUAACACGUGGAUAACCUACCUAUAAGACUGGGAUAACUUCGGGAAACCGAAGCUAAUACCGGAUAAUAUAUUGAACCGCAUGGUUCAAUAGUGAAAGACGGUUUUGCUGUCACUUAUAGAUGGAUCCGCGCCGCAUUAGCUAGUUGGUAAGGUAACGGCUUACCAAGGCAACGAUGCGUAGCCGACCUGAGAGGGUGAUCGGCCACACUGGAACUGAGACACGGUCCAGACUCCUACGGGAGGCAGCAGUAGGGAAUCUUCCGCAAUGGGCGAAAGCCUGACGGAGCAACGCCGCGUGAGUGAUGAAGGUCUUCGGAUCGUAAAACUCUGUUAUUAGGGAAGAACAAAUGUGUAAGUAACUAUGCACGUCUUGACGGUACCUAAUCAGAAAGCCACGGCUAACUACGUG
This 497-nucleotide ribosomal RNA is filed under the name uncultured bacterium. Its description in RNAcentral is "partial 16S ribosomal RNA". It matches the Rfam family "Bacterial small subunit ribosomal RNA", at positions 28 to 507 of the family's 1533-position model. The record is from RNAcentral.